CUACGGGAGGCAGCAGUGGGGAAUAUUGGACAAUGGGCGAAAGCCUGAUCCAGCAAUGCCGCGUGAGUGAUGAAGGCCUUAGGGUUGUAAAGCUCUUUCACCGGGGAAGAUAAUGACGGUACCCGGAGAAGAAGCCCCGGCUAACUCCGUGCCAGCAGCCGCGGUAAUACGGAGGGGGCUAGCGUUGUUCGGAAUUACUGGGCGUAAAGCGCGCGUAGGCGGCUUGGUAAGUUGGAGGUGAAAGCCCGAAGCUCAACUUCGGAAUUGCCUUCAAAACUACCAAGCUAGAGGCAGAGAGAGGAGAGCGGAAUAUCCAGUGUAGAGGUGAAAUUCGUAGAUAUUGGAUGGAACACCGGUGGCGAAGGCGGCUCUCUGGCUCUGUUCUGACGCUGAGGUGCGAAAGCAUGGGUAGCAAACAGGAUUAGAAACCCGAGUAGUCC
This 440-nucleotide ribosomal RNA is filed under the name uncultured bacterium. Its description in RNAcentral is "bacterial SSU rRNA". It matches the Rfam family "Bacterial small subunit ribosomal RNA", at positions 339 to 796 of the family's 1533-position model. The record is from RNAcentral.